RNAcentral lists this ribosomal RNA (104 nucleotides) under cyanobiont of Ornithocercus magnificus. The record is from RNAcentral. Lineage: Bacteria; Bacillati; Cyanobacteriota; Cyanophyceae; Synechococcales.
UGGUGUUCAUGGCGUUGUGGAACCACUCCAAUCCAUCCCGAACUCGGCUGUGAAACGCAACAGCGGCGACGAUAUUUGGGGGGCAGCCCCCCGAGAAAAUAGCU